Molecule: ribosomal RNA, 499 nt
Filed under: uncultured Glomeromycotina
Lineage: Eukaryota; Fungi; Glomeromycota
Description: partial small subunit ribosomal RNA
Rfam family: Eukaryotic small subunit ribosomal RNA
Source: RNAcentral
CCAAUAGCGCAUAUUAAAGUUGUUGCAGUUAAAAAGCUCGUAGUUGAAUUUCGAGAUCAAUUUGUCGGUCGUGCCUCGGUACGUACUGGCAUUAUUGAUUUCUCCCUUCUGACGAACCGCGAUGUCAUUCAUUUGGUGUCGUGUGGAAUCAGGACUGUUACUUUGAAAAAAUUAGCGUGUUUAAAGCAGGCGCACGCUUGAAUACAUUAGCAUGGAAUAAUGAAAUAGGACGUUUGAUUCUAUUUUGUUGGUUUCUAGGAUCGACGUAAUGAUUAAUAGGGAUAGUUGGGGGCAUUAGUAUUCAAUUGUCAGAGGUGAAAUUCUUGGAUUUAUUGAAGACUAACUACUGCGAAAGCAUUUGCCAAGGAUGUUUUCAUUAAUCAAGAACGAAAGUUAGGGGAUCGAAGACGAUCAGAUACCGUCGUAGUCUUAACCAUAAACUAUGCCGACUAGGGAUCGGAUGAUGUUAAUUUUUUAAUGACUCAUUCGGCGCCUUACG